GGAAACACAUUAUAACGGUCCUUUAUUAAGGAGCACAUGAAGGGCUGAUAGUACAGCGGCCUGGCAAAAAUAUUAUUUAAGACAGAUUGGUAUGAAAAGGAGAAAUGGGUGGAACGUCUGCUGAGGAGGAAACUGUUUGAGUCAGACACAGCUCCUGCCUUUGAUCCUGUCCUGGUUCUGAAGACAAGAACAUAAAGACAAGGAAGAUAAAUGGACAAAAUGUUCUCAACAGAACCCAGUGCAAACUUGAUGAUGUAUCAUCAAAUAGUAUGGAAACAUGAAUAUUAUGAAAAAAUCCUAUCCACUUCAAAACACACACACACACACACACACACACACACACACACUGAUUCAACUAGGAGUGGCUAAAGACGUUUGGACUUGGAGUGACUUUAAUUAGGAUCACAGUAAUAUGAACUGUACAGACUAGAAGAGAAAAGUAGUUUAGAAGAACAUAGAAUGUGUGUGUCUGUGUGGGUUCAUGCAUGUGCAUAAAAUUAUAGUUCUUAGGAAUGGUAUAAUAUUGAAGAUUUGCUAUAUGGCUCCAGGCAGACGUUGAUCAUAACACCCCAGCUGUGCACAGAAGUUCUCUUUUAAAAAAUGCAAUCAUUGAUUGGCUGAGAGAUAGAAAGCUCCCCAAAGCAAUAUUUGGAAACUAUUGUUUGCUUCCAUUCAUAGUUUAAGAGGGGCAGGAGCAAACGAAAAUCCAGACCUGUAAAUUAUGCAUUCAUGCUAUAAUUAUUCUUUUUCAACAUAAAUACUAUUCACUGGGAGUGUACAGUGCAUAAACAAAAUGCAUGAUUUUAUAUCUAAUACAUCUUGAACACAAUGACAUAUGUCUGUCAGUAUCAACUCAGCCCAGUAUUGUAAGUGGUAAGCUCAAGUCCCUCCAAUAGGCUGCAAGCCUCUAUCACAAGACAGACUUAAUUUAAUUAACCUACUUGGCAGUCUCUGCUCAGCAGGAAUCUUGUAAUGAAAUAACAAGCAAUAACAUAGCCCUCGUCCCUAGAGACAGAAUCCCUUCAGGUCAAGGCUGAAGUCACUGGAAGGAUGAGGUCAGGGGGAGCAUGUGUUCUAACUGCCGCAGUGGCAUCAGAUUAAAGUGGGGAGUUUUCUCAAAUUCAUUUGAUAGCCCAUUUUCUAAUCUUUCUCUCCCUGAAAUGUAAGAAUGCUUUAUACCCUCUCAAAGCAUUUCUGACAACUGUGAGCAACAGCCGUGUAAGAUGAGACCACAAAGUUGCUUGUGGAAGUGAAAUGACUUAUAAAAAUGAUUUUUGUUCA
Long non-coding RNA from Hemicordylus capensis (graceful crag lizard), 1281 nucleotides. RefSeq lists it as uncharacterized. The record is from RefSeq and is a predicted model, not a curated record. The transcript is spliced from 2 exons. NCBI's taxonomy places the organism in Eukaryota, Metazoa, Chordata, Lepidosauria, Squamata, Cordylidae.